Molecule: ribosomal RNA, 200 nt
Filed under: uncultured bacterium
Lineage: Bacteria
Description: partial 16S ribosomal RNA
Rfam family: Bacterial small subunit ribosomal RNA
Source: RNAcentral
AGUCUACGGGAGGCAGCAGUGGGGAAUCUUCCGCAAUGGGCGAAAGCCUGACGGAGCAACGCCGCGUGAGUGAAGAAGGUCUUCGGAUCGUAAAGCUCUGUUGUCGGGGACGAAAGAGUAGACGAGGAAAUGCGUCUACUAAGACGGUACCUGACGAGGAAGCCACGGCUAACUACGUGCCAGCAGCCGCGGUAAUGACU